Molecule: ribosomal RNA, 781 nt
Filed under: uncultured bacterium
Lineage: Bacteria
Description: bacterial SSU rRNA
Rfam family: Bacterial small subunit ribosomal RNA
Source: RNAcentral
UCUCAAGCGAGUGGCGAACGGGUGAGUAACGCGUGAGGACCCUGCCUCAAAGAGGGGGACAACAGUUGGAAACGACUGCUAAUACCGCAUAAGCCCACGACCCGGCAUCGGGUAGAGGGAAAAGGAGCAAUCCGCUUUGAGAUGGCCUCGCGUCCGAUUAGCUAGUUGGUGAGGUAACGGCCCACCAAGGCGACGAUCGGUAGCCGGACUGAGAGGUUGAACGGCCACAUUGGGACUGAGACACGGCCCAGACUCCUACGGGAGGCAGCAGUGGGGAAUAUUGCACAAUGGGGGAAACCCUGAUGCAGCGACGCCGCGUGGAGGAAGAAGGUCUUCGGAUUGUAAACUCCUGUUGUUGAGGAAGAUAAUGACGGUACUCAACAAGGAAGUGACGGCUAACUACGUGCCAGCAGCCGCGGUAAAACGUAGGUCACAAGCGUUGUCCGGAAUUACUGGGUGUAAAGGGAGCGCAGGCGGGAAGACAAGUUGGAAGUGAAAUCCAUGGGCUCAACCCAUGAACUGCUUUCAAAACUGUUUUUCUUGAGUAGUGCAGAGGUAGGCGGAAUUCCCGGUGUAGCGGUGGAAUGCGUAGAUAUCGGGAGGAACACCAGUGGCGAAGGCGGCCUACUGGGCACCAACUGACGCUGAGGCUCGAAAGUGUGGGUAGCAAACAGGAUUAGAUACCCUGGUAGUCCACACUGUAAACGAUGAUUACUAGGUGUUGGAGGAUUGACCCCUUCAGUGCCGCAGUUAACACAAUAAGUAAUCCACCUGGGGAGUA